CACGUAGGGUGCGAGCGUUGUCCGGAAUUAUUGGGCGUAAAGAGCUCGUAGGCGGUGUGUCGCGUCGGCCGUGAAAACCUGCAGCUUAACUGUGGGCUUGCGGUCGAUACGGGCAUCACUGGAGUUCGGCAGGGGAGACUGGAAUUCCUGGUGUAGCGGUGAAAUGCGCAGAUAUCAGGAGGAACACCGGUGGCGAAGGCGGGUCUCUGGGCCGAAAUUGACGCUGAGGAGCGAAAGCGUGGGGAGCAAACAGG
Molecule: ribosomal RNA, 254 nt
Filed under: uncultured bacterium
Lineage: Bacteria
Description: partial 16S ribosomal RNA
Rfam family: Bacterial small subunit ribosomal RNA
Source: RNAcentral